UAUAUUGGGUUUCACAAUGUAAAGCGCCUUAAGUCACUAGAGAAAAGCGCUAUAUAAAUAUAAUUCACUUCACUUCACAUCUUGUGAGACGAUGUCGGCCAACAGGGAAGCUCGAAUGGGUGCUACAAAUUGUGAGUUCAGAUAUUUUAAUUCUUUAUAUUUUCACGUUUAAUAUGUUUUUUGCAAUUUUAAUUUUGACAGUACCACAUAAGAUAUGUUUUAAUUGCUGAUGCGGGUUUAUUUAUUUUUAAAUGAGCCAGAAAAUAACCCGUUUUGUACACUGUUGGUGGUGAUUCAUUGCCCAGUAGUAUGUAAAUGUGUUUCUGUAUAGUAUUUUUCCAACAAUGGUCAUGUGGUGACAUAAGUGAUGGUAUUUUGAGAGGACCUCACUGAAGGUGGGAAACGCACGGUCCACCACUGGUUGUACUCUACGCUACUGUGUUUUAUUUAAUGUUGCUCAUUAUGGUGGUACUUGAAAAGCCAAGUUUUUUCUGAGGUGGUACCUGGUGGAAAAAGUGUGACAAACACUGAUCUAGAUAUCCAUCCAUUUUCUACCACUUGUCCCUUUUGGGGUCGCGAGGGGUGCUGGAGCCUAUCUCAGCUGCAUUCAAACGGAAGGCGGGGUACACCCUGGACAAGUCGCCACCUCAUCGCAGGGCCAACACAGAUAGACAGACAACAUUCACACUCACAUUCACACACUAGGGACCAUUUAGUGUUGCCAAUCAACCAAUCCCCAGGUGCAUGUUUUUGGCGGUGGGAGGAAGCCGUAGUACCCGGAGGGAACCCACGCAGUCACGGGGAGAACAUGCAAACUCCACACAGAAAGAUCUCGAGCCCGGGACUGAACUCAGGACUACUCAGGACCUUCAUAUUGUGAGUUUUUGAACGAUUGGCAAAAAUCCCAAAAAAAGUGCAGUUCCCCUUCAAGGCCCUGAUACAUCAGCCCCACUUACAGCAAGGAAGCGGAAUUUCUUGAGGAGUCCGGAUACGACGAAGGAGUCGCAGAGAUACAGCAGCAAGCCACUGAACUGCAGGCCCUGAUGGUUGAGAUUUAGCUAGUGUGCCUAAUGAAGUGACCGGUGCAGGUGUUUACCAACCAACCUUGGUGGAGAUCAGAGGCAGACGCAUGCUCUCCAGGUGGCUUCCCUGUUGACUGAAGACAAAGUGCUGCUCCCUUUCUUUGGGAAUGACAAACUGGAGCUGGACCUCCUCCCCCAGCAUGGACGAGCAGAAGGUGAAGAGGGUCUUUGUGGUGCACGAACCUGUGCGGCGGGGCUGGCGUCACAGUAGUGAUGACACUGCUCGCAGUGAUGAAAGGCGUUGUGAGCAGCGUACCGAGUGAGUCGAAUUGACUUUGUCUCCUGUUUGGCUUCUACUUGGCCCUUUUCUUCUUUUU
Molecule: long non-coding RNA, 1399 nt
Organism: Nerophis lumbriciformis (worm pipefish)
Lineage: Eukaryota; Metazoa; Chordata; Actinopteri; Syngnathiformes; Syngnathidae
Source: RefSeq, a predicted model, not a curated record